RNAcentral lists this ribosomal RNA (469 nucleotides) under uncultured bacterium. Its description in RNAcentral is "bacterial SSU rRNA". It matches the Rfam family "Bacterial small subunit ribosomal RNA", at positions 33 to 505 of the family's 1533-position model. The record is from RNAcentral.
ACGCUGGCGGCAGGCCUCAUACUGCAAGUCGAACGAGAAAGUAUCUUCGGAUACGAGUACAGUGGCGGACGGGUGAGUAAUACAUAGGAAUCUACCCAAUGGAGGGGGAUAGCUCGAGGAAACUCGAAUUAAUACCGCAUAAUCUCCACGGAGUAAAGAGGGCUUCGGCUCUCGCCAUCGGAUGAGCCUAUGCAGGAUUAGCUUGUUGGUGAGGUAAAGGCUUACCAAGGCGACGAUCCUUAGCUGGUUUGAGAGGAUGACCAGCCACAUCGGGACUGAGACACGGCCCGGACUUCUACGGAAGGCAGCAGUAGGGAAUAUUGGACAAUGAGCGAAAGCUUGAUCCAGCCAUGCCGCGUGUGCGAUGACGGCCCUCGGGUUGUAAAGCACUUUAGGUAACGAGGAAAAGUUAGGUGUUAAUACCAUCUAACCUUGACGUUAAUUACAGAAUAAGCACCGGCUAAAUCCG